Molecule: long non-coding RNA, 3639 nt
Filed under: Sus scrofa (pig)
Lineage: Eukaryota; Metazoa; Chordata; Mammalia; Artiodactyla; Suidae
Description: lncRNA (ENSSSCG00000058077.1)
Source: RNAcentral
UUAACAUUUUCAUUGGAGGUUAAAAGCAGUUUAUGUAAUGUAUAGUUGAUGUGGCCAGUGGCCAAAUACUUAAAAUUGUGCUUUGCAUUUUACAGUCUCCAAAAUUUGUGAGCAUAAACUGGAACAAAUCUUUACUGCUGAAGGUCUCUUGCUUGACUUGUGUGAUAAACUAUGGGCAGCCAACAAUAUUUAAUCACCAAAAUUCCAUGUUAGCUUUUAUUUUUGAACAAUGCAUAGCAUGUGAAAAAUUUCCUAAUAACUCAAGAUUGAUACUCUUAAAAUUUAACAUGAGGUUUUAUCCCUGUUUGUGUUAUCUUGCAAUACUUUUUCAUAAUUAUGGCUAAUUUCAUUGGCAAAUGUAUUUAAAAUAAGGCAUUUAAAAAUCUCAUAGUUUAAAAAUCUCCCUAAUUUGAAAAACUCUAUGUUUGAACUUCUUACAUCAACAUUGUAAGCUCAGAUAAGGGGAAUUUUCUGUCCUCUAAUGAAAACAAUUCAGAUUUUGCUGUUGGAUGAGCAUGAUUUAGGAAACUCUCCUUCUCCUCUAGUGAAAAACUCAGGCAGUAUCUCACACUGGAAGCAAACUACCAGUACUUUGUUUCUAGCCUUAACUUUCCUUUCUACUCUGUAAAGUUGGAUGGUGUGCUUUCCAUUUUAUCAAGUAAAAAUACCACUAAGGCAAGAUUUGCCGUCUUUGUGACUCAUUGUAAUGUUAAGAAAGAAAACAUACCUGAGUUACUUGAAUUUGCUAUAUGCAAAUGUUAGUCUAACUUGGAAAUUUAUUUAUGAACUGAUAAAUAAAGAGUCAGGAAAAAUGACUUUUGUAACUUGGCUAGGCUUCGUCAGUUUUCCUGAGCUCCUAUAAUUAUAGUCUUGGCUACUUACUUCCGCAGGCGCUGCUAAAAGACUUGCUAUUACCAGGAAACCGCAUCUCACAUGGUCCAUACAGGGCAGUUUGCUGGAAUUAAACAACAAAUGGGAUUUCCUUUCCUACCAGCCCGAAGAUGAACUACCUUUGGGUCCUGAGCUCCUCUUAAAAUUAAAUUUCAUUUCUGGCCAGGUCUUGAUCAUUUUGCUUCUUGGAUUUAGGCUUGGGCACUUCAUUUCUCAUUCUGCUUCAGAGUCUACCCUAGCCCUUCUAAUCUGCAGGCUCAUUGCUAUAGACCUCAAAAAAACAGAGUGUCCUUUAUUAUAGGAUGGGAACACGCAUGAUAGGGGAGAUUCCUUAACAAUAAUAGAAUGCUCUCUGACAGACUUCUCAGGAUUCUCAUCACUUCAUUAUAUAAAGAGACUUAAGCAGUAGUCUUGUGCCCUGGCUUCAAAUGUGAUGCAGUUCUAUGGAUUUCCAUGUAGAAAUGGGACUCAGGAUUAUCCAACAAAUACAUAUAAAUUGGAUUUAAUAUGUCAUUCCUAAGAUUCAAUUCAUGCCUCAUAGAAUUUGCCAUACAAAAUAUUCUCGGCACCUCAAAUUAUUUUGAUAUUCUGAAAGUGGUUUUACGGCACAAAUUCUAUUUUCCUAUAAAUGGUUGAAUAAAUUCUACUUUACUAUAUUUUUAGUAUAUUUUUAGAUAUUUUUCUAAUAGCUAUCAUUGUGAAAUACUCAACUACUAAUUGUGAGAUAUAUAAUUAUUCUUAAUCUUGAUCCUAAAAAAUAACCAUUGUUAACCACUAGUUGAAUGGUAUUCCAGAUUUUUAUAUUUAUUUAAAAAUAUAUUUUGUGGAGUUCCCAUUGUGGCGCAGUGGAAAUGAAUCUGACCAGGAACCCUGAGGUUGUGGGUUUGAUCCCUGGCCUCACUCACUGGGUUAAAGAUCUGGUGUUGCAGUGAGCUGUGAUGUAGGUCGAAGACGUGGCUCAGAUCCUGCGUUGCUAUGGCUGUGGUGUAGGCUGGCAGCUGUAGCUCCGAUUAGACCCCUAGCCUGGGAGCCUCCAUAUGCUGUAAGUGCAGCCCUAAAAAGUAAAUAAAUAAGUAAAAAUAUUUUGUGACAGGAAAAUAUGCUAUGUGCAUCAGUAACCCUUAAUGCUACUUUUUAAAAUUCAAAGAUAUUGUAUCCUUUAUCUGAGUGUUUUUAACAUCUACUCUUUUUUAUUAUUCUUUUUCAACACCCCUCUCCUAUUUCUAAGUAUGUUUUUCUUCCUGUUGAAUUUUGCUUUUGGUUAUUUUUAACAGUUUUACUGAGGUAUAAUUUAUAUAACAUAAAAUUCACCGAUUUUUAAGUGCAUAAUUCAGUGAUAUUUUGUAAAGUUACAGGCUUGUGCAACCAUUACCAUAAUUCCAUUUUAGAGCAUUGCCAUCACCUCAAAGACAUCCCUCAUGUGCAGUCAGUUCUCAUUCUUGGCCUCAAUCCAGGCAACCACUGAUCUUCUGUUCAUUCCUAUAGACUUGCUGGCCCUUGUGAUGUUUGCGGCACUUCUUAAACAUGGGACUUGACAUUGUUCAGCAUUUUUAGAAAAUUAUUGAUUAAGAGACCUUCAGAUAGUGUUUCUGCUCCAUUUGACCUUUCCUGGUCUCCACAUACAUGCUGUUCCAUGUACCUCUUCCGUUCUUUAUAAUACUUUCUCUCCGCUCUACCCUUAAUAUAAUUUACCCUUUUCAGGUGUACUGAGCAUUCUUUUUCUCCUUCCUUGCAUCAUGAGCCUACUGAAAGCACUGAAACUCUCAAACUCUUAGCUGUCAUCUUUUUUUGCUGGACUUCUUGGCCUCUAGGCCCUAGGGAUUUACAAAUUCCAAAUUUCCAUUGAGGGAAAAGCGGAACCCCAGUCCUUAUCAACUUUGGAACUUUGACUCUCAAUGCUAACUUCCCAAGGAGCCAUGAAUUCUAAUUUUUGUCUUUCUAAUACCAUGUCACUGUCUAAAGUUCUUUUUUCCUUUUAGCUGCUAUUUGUAAAAAUGUAAUUCUCAGCUUCAUAAAGAAAAUGAAUAUAAGUAUUUUGGGUUUUAAUGCCCUGUAUCACAGCAACAAAGAUUGCAAUUUUCAGUUUAUAAAUAGAAUUACUAUAAUUGUUCCCACUAAAAACAAUUCUUUAUUUAUAUAUAUUCUUCAGGACACAUACAGGAGACAUGUAUCUGGCUGAAGUUUGCUAAUUUCUUCACUUUAUAGGAAACAUUCUGUCAACUUGAAAAAUAUUGGCUCUUGGAAAGUCUUCAAAGUUUGUCAAGUUCAUUGAUUUUUUGAAGUGUUUCAUUUAUCUUGGAAUCUUAUUUUAGGUACAAUAUAUUAUAUUCUAUGGUUGAAAAAUAUUUUUUAUUACUCUGUAUAGCAUUUUGCCUGCCAUAGAAGAUUUGUUCCUUUAUAAUUAGUUUCUUUAUAUCCCUCACCACAUUUUUUCAGUAGAUUUCUAGUGGAGGAAAUCUUCCCACUUCUCAGAAAGGAUUUAAUCAGUUGUUAUUUUAAAUUAAAAAAAAAAUCCCUUGGCUAGAUUAAUUGAUAGAAAUGGCAUUCCUGUGUGGCUCAUGGGUUAAGAACCUGACAUCGUGUCCAUGAGGAUACAGGUUUGAUCUCUGGCCUUGCUCAGUGGGCUAAGGAUCUGGCAUUGUCACAAGCUGUGGUGUAGGUCGCAGAUGUGGCUCAGUUCCAGUGUUGCUGUGGCUGUGGUGAAGGCUGGCAGCUGCAGCUUUGAUUCAGCCCCUAGCCUGGGAACUU